AACGCGAAGAACCUUACCUGGGCUCGAAAUGCUAUGGACAGUCUGUGAAAGCGGAUCUUCCCGCAAGGGACCGUAGUAUAGGUGCUGCAUGGCUGUCGUCAGCUCGUGUCGUGAGAUGUUGGGUUAAGUCCCGCAACGAGCGCAACCCUUGUCCUGUGUUGCCAUCAUUUAGUUGGGAACUCGCAGGAGACCGCCAGGGAUAACCUGGAGGAAGGUGGGGAUGACGUCAAGUCCUCAUGGCCUUUAUGUCCAGGGCUACACACGUGCUACAAUGGACGGUACAAAGGGCUGCCAACCCGCAAGGGGGAGCCAAUCCCAAAAAACCGUUCUCAGUUCGGAUUGCAGGCUGCAACUCGCCUGCAUGAAGCUGGAAUCGCUAGUAAUGGCGGAUCAGAACGCCGCCGUGAAUACGUUCCCGGGCCUUGUA
Molecule: ribosomal RNA, 427 nt
Filed under: uncultured Acidobacterium sp.
Lineage: Bacteria; Pseudomonadati; Acidobacteriota; Terriglobia; Terriglobales; Acidobacteriaceae
Description: bacterial SSU rRNA
Rfam family: Bacterial small subunit ribosomal RNA
Source: RNAcentral